CGGCGGACGGGUGAGUAACACGUGGGUAACCUGGCCUGUAAGGACUGGGAGUAACUCCGGAAAACCGGGGCUAAUACCGGAUGCUUGAUUGAACCGCAUAGGUUCAAUCAUAAAAGGUGGCUUUUAGCUACCACUUACAGAUGGACCCGCGGCGCAUUAGCUAGUUGGUGAGGUAACGGCUCACCAAGGCGACGAUGCGUAGCCGACCUGAGAGGGUGAUCGGCCACACUGGGACUGAGACACGGCCCAGACUCCUACGGGAGGCAGCAGUAGGGAAUCUUCCGCAAUGGACGAAAGUCUGACGGAGCAACGCCCGCGUGAGUGAUGAAGGUUUUCGGAUCGUAAAACUCUGUUGUUAGGGAAGAACAAGUACCGUUCGAAUAGGGCGGUACCUUGACGGUACCUAACCAGAAAGCCACGGCUAACUACGUGCCAGCCGCGGC
This 443-nucleotide ribosomal RNA is filed under the name uncultured bacterium. RNAcentral describes it as "bacterial SSU rRNA". It matches the Rfam family "Bacterial small subunit ribosomal RNA", at positions 96 to 518 of the family's 1533-position model. The record is from RNAcentral.